RNAcentral lists this long non-coding RNA (739 nucleotides) under Nicotiana tabacum (common tobacco). Its description in RNAcentral is "long non-coding RNA (NTAB_LNC005320)". Lineage: Eukaryota; Viridiplantae; Streptophyta; Magnoliopsida; Solanales; Solanaceae. The record is from RNAcentral.
UUUACUUUCAGCCAGCAUUAGAGUUUUAAACUCUAAACUGAGCUUUUCCAUGCAAUCAGCAUUAGGGUUUUAAACCCUAAACUGAAUUUUCCUUUUAGUCAGCAUUAGGGUUUUAAACCCUAAACUGAAGUCUUUCCUUUCAGCCAGCAUUAGAGUUUUAAACUCUAAACUGAGCUUUCCCAUGCAAUCAGCAUUGGGGUUUUAAACCCUAAACUGAAUUUUCCUUUUAGUCAGCAUUAGGGUUUUAAACCCUAAACUGAACUUUUCCUUUCAGCCAGCAUUAGAGUUUUAAACUCUAAACUGAGCUUUCCCAUGCAAUCAGCAUUAGGGUUUUAAACCCUAAACUGAAUUUUCCUUUUAGUCGGCAUUAGGGUUUUAAACCCUAAAUUGAACUUUUCCUUUCAGCCAGCAUUAGAGUUUUAAACUCUAAACUGAGCUUUUCCAUGCAAUCACCAUUAGGGUUUUAAACCCUAAACUGAAUUUUCCUUUUAGUCAGCAUUAGGGUUUUAAACCCUAAACUGAACUUUUCCUUUCAGCCAGCAUUAGAGUUUUAAACUCUAAACUGAGCUUUUCCAUGCAAUCAGCAUUAGGGUUUUAAACCCUAAACUGAAUUUUCCUUUUAGUCAGCAUUAGGGUUUUAAACCCUAAACUGAACUUUUUCCUUUUCAGCCAGCAUUAGAGUUUUAAACUCUAAACUGAGCUUUUCUAUGCAAUCAGCAUUAGGGUUUUAAACCCUAAA